Long non-coding RNA from Mastomys coucha (southern multimammate mouse), 572 nucleotides. RefSeq lists it as uncharacterized. The transcript has 3 exons. The record is from RefSeq and is a predicted model, not a curated record. NCBI's taxonomy places the organism in Eukaryota, Metazoa, Chordata, Mammalia, Rodentia, Muridae.
CCUUCCCCGAGGCAAGCUUACAGAAACUGAGGAACUGUUAGAAAACAGGAACAAUGCGUCAAAGUGUAUGGAUGGGACAAAGGGAUUUUAGACACAACACCUGAAGCACAGGAGACAAAAGCAAAGAUCAGCAAACAGUGAUACACUGAAUUUUACAGGUAUUCUGGCCAUCAGUGAGAGUUUCUGGUUCAACUCCUGUCCCAUUGACUUCCUUCUGAGGAUGUGAUCAUGGUGAGAGGAAUUGUUUGACAUAAGCUGGAGUCAUCUGAGAAGAGGAAACCUCAGUUGAGAAAGUGCCUCCAACAGACUGAUCUGGAGGCGAGCCUGUGAACCAGUUUGUUUCUUAAUUGAUGGUUGAUGUGGAUGGAUCCUGCUCCCUCUAGGGAAUCUCCCUAGGCAGGUGGUCCUGGUUACAUAAGAAAACAGGCCUGAGUGAGCCAGCAGGCCUUAUCCACUGCUUCUGCUUCAGUUCCUGCCUGCAGGUUCCUGUGUUGAAUUCCUACCUUGCACCCAUUCAGUAGACUGUGACUUGGGAUACAUAAAAGCAAAUAAAUCCUUCUUUCCCGCUCCAA